AACAAACGCUGGCGGCGUGCCUAAUACAUGCAAGUCGAACGGGGAAAGCUUUCGGGUGAGUACUAGUGGCGCACGGGUGAGGAACGCGUGGAUAAUCUGCCUUAGAGUGGGGGAUAACUAGUCGAAAGAUUAGCUAAUACCGCAUAAGACCACGAGAGCUGCGGCUUUUGAGGUCAAAGGUUUUUCGCUCUAAGAUGAGUCCGCGUAAGAUUAGCUAGUUGGUGAGGUAACGGCUCACCAAGGCGACGAUCUUUAACUGGUCUGAGAGGAUGAUCAGUCAACCUGAAAAUGAGACACGGUCCAGCCCCCUCCGGGAGCAGGAGGUGGGAAAAAUUGAAAAAGGGAGAAAACUCGGAGGCAGCGCCGCGGCGGGGGUAAUGAAGGCCUUGGGGUCGAAAAGCUCUGUCGAGGGGAAAAAACAAAUGAAGGGACCCCUUAAAAAAGGAUCGGGUAACCUGCG
This 460-nucleotide ribosomal RNA is filed under the name uncultured bacterium. Its description in RNAcentral is "partial 16S ribosomal RNA". It matches the Rfam family "Bacterial small subunit ribosomal RNA", at positions 30 to 505 of the family's 1533-position model. The record is from RNAcentral.